AUUGAACGCUGGCGGCAGGCUUAACACAUGCAAGUCGAGCGAGCGGCGGACGGGUGAGUAAUGUCUGGGAAACUGCCUGAUGGAGGGGGAUAACUACUGGAAACGGUAGCUAAUACCGCAUACCAUCAGAUGUGCCCAGAUGGGAUUAGCGAGUAGGUGGGGUAAUGGCUCACCUAGGCGACGAUCCCUAGCUGGUCUGAGAGGAUGACCGGCCAACCUGGAACUGGGACACGGUCCAUGCUCCUCAGGGAGGCAGCAGGGGGGAAUAUUGCGCAAUGGGCGCAAGCCGUAUGCAGCCAUGCCGCGUGUGUGAAGAAGGCCUUCGGGUUGUAAAGCUCUUUCAGCAAGGAGGCGUUACUCGCAGAAGAAGCACCGGCUAACUCCGUGCCAGCAGCCGCGGUAAUUC
Molecule: ribosomal RNA, 406 nt
Filed under: uncultured bacterium
Lineage: Bacteria
Description: partial 16S ribosomal RNA
Rfam family: Bacterial small subunit ribosomal RNA
Source: RNAcentral